AGCAGCCGCGGUAAUUCCAGCUCCAAUAGCGUAUAUUAAAGUUGUUGCAGUUAAAAAGCUCGUAGUUGAAUUUCGGGGUUUAGCAGGUCGGUCGUGCCAUCGGUAUGAACUGGUCUCGCUGAUCCCUCCCUCUUGACGAACUGUGAUGCCAUUAAUUUGGUGUCGCAGGGAAUCAGGACUGUUACUUUGAAAAAUUAGAGUGUUUAAAGCAGGCUCACGCUUGAAUACAUUAGCAUGGAAUAAUGAAAUAGGACGUUUGAU
Molecule: ribosomal RNA, 261 nt
Filed under: uncultured Glomus
Lineage: Eukaryota; Fungi; Glomeromycota; Glomeromycetes; Glomerales; Glomeraceae
Description: partial 18S ribosomal RNA
Rfam family: Eukaryotic small subunit ribosomal RNA
Source: RNAcentral